Molecule: ribosomal RNA, 437 nt
Filed under: Eugerda sp.
Lineage: Eukaryota; Metazoa; Arthropoda; Malacostraca; Isopoda; Desmosomatidae
Description: partial 16S ribosomal RNA
Rfam family: Bacterial large subunit ribosomal RNA
Source: RNAcentral
AUGGCCGCAGUAUCUUGACUGUGCUAAGGUAGCAUAAUAAUUUGUCUUUUAAUUAGAGACUAGUAUGAAAGAGUUGACGAUUUUUGAGCUUUUUUCUUUUUUCUUUUGAAAUUUAUAUUUACGUCAAAAAGCGUAAAUUUUUAAGAAGACGAUAAGACCCUAUAAAAUUUAAUUAAAGUAAAAUAUUAAUUUUGAAAUUCUAUAUUAUAGCCUUUAAUUUAGCUGGGGCGGCAAUUAAAAAAACUUUAAGAAAAAUAACACUUCUAAGUGAUUAAGUUAGAUCUUAUAAAGAGUUAGAAAAAUUACUUUAGGGAUAACAGCACAAUUUUUUUUGAUAGACCUUAUUGAUAAAAAAGUUUGUGACCUCGAUGUUGAAUUGAAGUUCCUUAUUUGAGCACAAAAAAAUAAAGGAGGUCUGUUCGACCUAUAACCCUUCA